CCUACGGGGGGCAGCAGUGAGGAAUAUUGGUCAAUGGGCGCAAGCCUGAACCAGCCAAGUCGCGUGAGGGAAGACGGCCCUACGGGUUGUAAACCUCUUUUGCCGGGGAGCAAGCCUGAGCACGUGUGCCCAGGCGGAGAGUUCCCGGAGAAAAAGCAUCGGCUAACUCCGUGCCAGCAGCCGCGGUAAUACGGAGGAUCCGAGCGUUAUUCGGAUUUAUUGGGUUUAAGGGGUGCGUAGGCGGAUUUUUAAGUCAGCGGUAAAAUGUCCGGGCUCAACCCGGGCCGGCCGUUGAAACUGGGGAU
Molecule: ribosomal RNA, 305 nt
Filed under: uncultured bacterium
Lineage: Bacteria
Description: bacterial SSU rRNA
Rfam family: Bacterial small subunit ribosomal RNA
Source: RNAcentral